AGUCUCUCUUUGCACCUCUUGGAUCUACAGACAACAUCAUUGUCAGUUCUCUCCAUUUGAUGAUGUGGGGAAAUCUGUCUAUCGACUAAAAGAAAAAGUGGAGGGUGUCUGUAAAUGAGAGAUUGAAAGGAUAUCUGGCAAAGUUACAUACAUUGAAGUUAUUCCGACCAACGAACUCAAGACCAGAACAGAGUUCCUACAAUAUUUCCGACUGUUAUCUCUGGAUCCAAACACAGCACAAGGGAACAUCUGUCUGUCUUGAGGGGAACAGAGUCCAGCAGUAUCCUGAUCAUCCAGACAGAUUUGAUCACUGGGAACAGGUGUUGUGUAGAGAGAGUGUGUGUGGACGCUGUUACUGGGAGGUUGAGUGGAAUAGGAGUCAUGUUGUGAGUAUAUCAGUGUCAUAUAAGAGCGUCAGUAGGAAGGGAAGAGGUGAUGAGUGUGGAUUUGGAGAUAAUGAUGAGUCCUGGAGUUUGGACUGCUUUGCCUCCAGUAGUUAAUUCUGGCACAGUUAUAAACAGACUGAACUCCCAGUAGUGUCCAGUUCUUGUAGAAUAGGAGUGUAUGUGGAUCACAGUGCAGGAAUUCUGUCCUUCUACAGCGUCUCUGAAACAAUGACCCUCAUCCACAGAGUCCACACCACAUUCACUCUAUCCUGGGUUUGGGUUAAAUGAGAACUCAACAGUGAAACUGCGUGAUUUAACAAUAUAAACGA
Triplophysa rosa is the source of this 715-nucleotide long non-coding RNA. RefSeq lists it as uncharacterized. The record is from RefSeq and is a predicted model, not a curated record. NCBI's taxonomy places the organism in Eukaryota, Metazoa, Chordata, Actinopteri, Cypriniformes, Nemacheilidae. The transcript has 3 exons.